AUUGAACGCUGGCGGCAGGCCUAACACAUGCAAGUCGAACGGUAACAGGAAGAAGCUUGCUUCUUUGCUGACGAGUGGCGGACGUGUGAGUAAUGUCUGGGAAACUGCCUGAUGGAGGGGGAUAACUACUGGAAACGGUAGCUAAUACCGCAUAACGUCGCAAGACCAAAGAGGGGGACCUUCGGGCCUCUUGCCAUCGGAUGUGCCCAGAUGGGAUUAGCUAGUAGGUGGGGUAACGGCUCACCUAGGCGACGAUCCCUAGCUGGUCUGAGAGGAUGACCAGCCACACUGGAACUGAGACACGGUCCAGACUCCUACGGGAGGCAGCAGUGGGGAAUAUUGCACAAUGGGCGCAAGCCUGAUGCAGCCAUGCCGCGUGUAUGAAGAAGGCCUUCGGGUUGUAAAGUACUUUCAGCGGGGAGGAAGGGAGUAAAGUUAAUACCUUUGCUCAUUGACGUUACCCGCAGAAGAAGCACCGGCUAACUCCGUG
Molecule: ribosomal RNA, 490 nt
Filed under: uncultured bacterium
Lineage: Bacteria
Description: partial 16S ribosomal RNA
Rfam family: Bacterial small subunit ribosomal RNA
Source: RNAcentral